Molecule: non-coding RNA, 21 nt
Filed under: Caenorhabditis elegans
Lineage: Eukaryota; Metazoa; Nematoda; Chromadorea; Rhabditida; Rhabditidae
Source: RNAcentral
UUCGAAUUCUACUUUUUUUUU